This 492-nucleotide ribosomal RNA is filed under the name uncultured bacterium. RNAcentral's name for it is "partial 16S ribosomal RNA". It matches the Rfam family "Bacterial small subunit ribosomal RNA", at positions 28 to 507 of the family's 1533-position model. The record is from RNAcentral.
GGUGGACGCUGGCGGUAGGCCUAACACAUGCCAGUCGAACGGCAGCACAGUAAGAGCUUGCUCUUACGGGUGGCGAGUGGCGGACGGGUGAGGAAUACAUCGGAAUCUACUUUUUCGUGGGGGAUAACGUAGGGAAACUUACGCUAAUACCGCAUACGACCUACGGGUGAAAGCAGGGGAUCUUCGGACCUUGCGCGAUUGAAUGAGCCGAUGUCGGAUUAGCUAGUUGGCGGGGUAAAGGCCCACCAAGGCGACGAUCCGUAGCUGGUCUGAGAGGAUGAUCAGCCACACUGGAACUGAGACACGGUCCAGACUCCUACGGGAGGCAGCAGUGGGGAAUAUUGGACAAUGGGCGCAAGCCUGAUCCAGCCAUACCGCGUGGGUGAAGAAGGCCUUCGGGUUGUAAAGCCCUUUUGUUGGGAAAGAAAAGCAGCAGGUUAAUACCCCGCUGUUCUGACGGUACCCAAAGAAUAAGCACCGGCUAACUUCGUG